This 66-nucleotide transfer RNA is filed under the name Chagasia sp. SP54_C. RNAcentral describes it as "tRNA-Tyr". Lineage: Eukaryota; Metazoa; Arthropoda; Insecta; Diptera; Culicidae. The record is from RNAcentral. RNAcentral also lists the same sequence under 1 other name.
GAUUAAAUGGCUGAAGUAUUAGGUAAUAAAUUGUAAAUUUAUGUAUGAGAUUAAUCUCUUUAAUCA